GGGGGGACAUGCGGCUGCUACACAUGCAGUUGAACGAGCUUAAUUUAUUAAGCUAAGUAGCGGACGGGUGAGUAGCGCGCAAUAACCUACCUUUAGGAGAGGAAUAACUAUUGGAAACGAUAGCUUAUACCUCAUAAACUGUGGAGUAAAAGGUGAAAGCCGCCUAAAGAUGGGCUUGCGUCUGAUUAGCUUGUUGGUAAUUUAAAAGGUUACCAAGGCAACGAUCAGUAGUUGGUCUAAGAGGAUGAUCAACCACACUGGGACUGAGACACGGCCCAGACCUCUACGGAGGGCAGCAGUGAGGAAUUUUCCGCAAUGGGCGAAAGCCUGACGGAGCAAUGCCGCGUGGAGGAUGAAGGCUUGUGAGUCGUAAACUCCUUUUCUUAGCGAAGAAACAAGACGGUAACUAAGGAAUAAGCAUCGGCUAACUCCGUGCCAGCAGCCGCGGUAAUACGGAGGAUGCAAGCGUUAUUCGGAAUUAUUGGGCGUAAAGCGUCUGUAGGUUGCUUUUUAAGUCUACUGUUAAAUGUUAAGGCUUAACCUUAAAAGAGCGGUAUGAAACUAAAAAGCUUGAGUUUAGUAGAGGUAGAGGGAAUUCUCGGUGUAGUGGUGAAAUGCGUAGAGAUCGAGAAGAACACCAGUUGCGAAAGCGCUCUGCUGGGCUAAUACUGACACUGAGAGACGAAAGCUAGGGGAGCAAAUAGGAUUAGAUACCCUAGUAGUCCUAGCUGUAAACGAUGGAUACUAAGUGUUGGACUUGAAAAUAGUUCAGUGCUGUAGCUAACGCGUUAAGUAUCCCGCCUGGGAAGUAUGCUCGCAAGAGUGAAACUCAAAGGAUUUGACG
RNAcentral lists this ribosomal RNA (844 nucleotides) under uncultured phototrophic eukaryote. Its description in RNAcentral is "bacterial SSU rRNA". It matches the Rfam family "Bacterial small subunit ribosomal RNA", at positions 26 to 915 of the family's 1533-position model. The record is from RNAcentral.